CCUACGGGGGGCAGCAGUGGGGAAUAUUGGGCAAUGGGCGCAAGCCUGACCCAGCAACGCCGCGUGAAGGAAGAAGGCUUUCGGGUUGUAAACUUCUUUUCUCAGGGACGAAGAAAGUGACUGUACCCACAGAAUAAGCCUCGGCUAACUACGUGCCAGCAGCCGCGGUAAUACGUAGGAGGCAAGCGUUAUCCGGAAUGACUGGGCGUAAAGGGUGCGUAGGUGGUUCGGCAAGUUAGUAGCGUAAUUCCGGGGCUCAACCUCGGAACUACUACUAAAACUGUUGGGCUUGAGUGCAGGAGGGGCAUAUGGAAUUCCUAGUGUAGCGGUGGAAUGCGUAGAUAUUAGGAAGAACACCAGUGGCGAAGGCGAUAUGCUGGACUGUAACUGACACUGAGGCACGAAAGCGUGGGGAGCAAACAGGAUUAGAUACCCCAGUAGUC
RNAcentral lists this ribosomal RNA (443 nucleotides) under uncultured bacterium. RNAcentral describes it as "partial 16S ribosomal RNA". It matches the Rfam family "Bacterial small subunit ribosomal RNA", at positions 338 to 795 of the family's 1533-position model. The record is from RNAcentral.